AUGGUGCCUUCACAAAUGAAUCUCUCGGCCGUCCUCCUAGUCGUCGUCCUCCUACCCAUCGUCAUGGAAGCUGGUGAGUCGGCGAUCGUUGGGAAAUAUCGUUGCGGUGACGAACAUCAGAGCGGCAAUUAUAAAGGGAUAUGCAUUGGAUUGAUACAUGACCGCGCUUGCAAUCGUGUAUGCGUAGACGAAAGCAGCGACAACUCUGGUGGCGAAUGUGACUUUUUGCAAUGCUGGUGCAUAACCAGAUGCACCUCUGAGUCUGAGGCUGUUGCCAGUGCUCCGAUCCGGCAAUAA
This 297-nucleotide ribosomal RNA is filed under the name Triticum aestivum (bread wheat). RNAcentral's name for it is "partial small subunit ribosomal RNA". Lineage: Eukaryota; Viridiplantae; Streptophyta; Magnoliopsida; Poales; Poaceae. The record is from RNAcentral.